AUUGAACGCUGGCGGAAUGCUUUACACAUGCAAGUCGAACGGUAGAGGGGGCAACCCCUCGAGAGUGGCGAACGGGUGAGUAAUAUAUCGGAACGUGCCCAGUCGUGGGGGAUAACGUAGCGAAAGUUACGCUAAUACCGCAUACGAUCUAAGGAUGAAAGCGGGGGAUCGCAAGACCUCGCGCGAUUGGAGCGGCCGAUAUCAGAUUAGGUAGUUGGUGGGGUAAAGGCUCACCAAGCCAACGAUCUGUAGCUGGUCUGAGAGGAAGACCAGCCAAACUGGAACUGAGACACGGUCCAGACUCCUACGGGAGGCAGCAGUGGGGAAUUUUGGACAAUGGACGCAAGUCUGAUCCAGCCAUUCCGCGUGCAGGAUGAAGGCCCUCGGGUUGUAAACUGCUUUUGUACGGAACGGAAAGGUCUCUCUUAAUACGGGGGACUCAUGACGGUACCGUAAGAAUAAGCACCGGCUAACUACGUGCCAGCCGCCGCCGUAA
Molecule: ribosomal RNA, 496 nt
Filed under: uncultured bacterium
Lineage: Bacteria
Description: partial 16S ribosomal RNA
Rfam family: Bacterial small subunit ribosomal RNA
Source: RNAcentral